GGGCGUGUCAGGCGAGGCCGGGGAACUUAAAAUUCCACUGGCUACGGGUUCGACUCCCGUCACGUCCA
Molecule: transfer RNA, 68 nt
Filed under: Candidatus Saccharimonadota bacterium
Lineage: Bacteria; Candidatus Saccharimonadota
Description: tRNA-OTHER
Rfam family: tRNA
About the family: Transfer RNA (tRNA) molecules are approximately 80 nucleotides in length. Their secondary structure includes four short double-helical elements and three loops (D, anti-codon, and T loops).
Source: RNAcentral